This 253-nucleotide ribosomal RNA is filed under the name uncultured bacterium. Its description in RNAcentral is "partial 16S ribosomal RNA". It matches the Rfam family "Bacterial small subunit ribosomal RNA", at positions 524 to 776 of the family's 1533-position model. The record is from RNAcentral.
UACGAAGGUCCCAAGCGUUGUUCGGAAUCACUGGGCUUAAAGGGCGCGUAGGCGGGUGGCUAAGUCUGUGGUGAAAUCCUCCAGCUCAACUGGAGAACUGCCAUGGAUACUGGUUGUCUCGAGGAACGUAGGGGUAUGCGGAACUAUCGGUGGAGCGGUGAAAUGCGUUGAUAUCGAUAGGAACUCCGGUGGCGAAGGCGGCAUACUGGACGUUUUCUGACGCUGAGGCGCGAAAGCCAGGGGAGCAAACGGG